Molecule: ribosomal RNA, 484 nt
Filed under: uncultured bacterium
Lineage: Bacteria
Description: partial 16S ribosomal RNA
Rfam family: Bacterial small subunit ribosomal RNA
Source: RNAcentral
AUUGAACGCUGGCGGCAGGCCUAACACAUGCAAGUCGAGCGGAUGAAGGGGGCUUGCUCCUGGAUUCAGCGGCGGACGGGUGAGUAAUGCCUAGGAAUCUGCCUGGUAGUGGGGGAUAACGUCCGGAAACGGGCGCUAAUACCGCAUACGUCCUGAGGGAGAAAGUGGGGGAUCUUCGGACCUCACGCUAUCAGAUGAGCCUAGGUCGGAUUAGCUAGUUGGUGGGGUAAAGGCCUACCAAGGCGACGAUCCGUAACUGGUCUGAGAGGAUGAUCAGUCACACUGGAACUGAGACACGGUCCAGACUCCUACGGGAGGCAGCAGUGGGGAAUAUUGGACACUGGGCGAAAGCCUGCUCCAGCCAUGCCGCGUGUGUGAAGAAGGUCUUCGGAUUGUAAAGCACUUUAAGUUGGGAGGAAGGGCAGUAAGUUAAUACCUUGCUGUUUUGACGUUACCAACAGAAUAAGCACCGGCUAACUUCGUG